CUACGGGAGGCAGCAGUGAGGAAUAUUGCACAAUGGAGGAAACUCUGAUGCAGCAACGCCGCGUGGAGGAUGACGCAUUUCGGUGUGUAAACUCCUUUUAUAUGUCAAGAAAAUGACGGUAGCAUAUGAAUAAGCUCCGGCUAACUCCGUGCCAGCAGCCGCGGUAAUACGGAGGGAGCAAGCGUUACUCGGAAUCACUGGGCGUAAAGGACGCGUAGGCGGGAUAGAAAGUCAGGUGUGAAAUCCUAUGGCUCAACCAUAGAACUGCACUUGAAACUUCUAACCUAGAGUAUGGGAGGGGAAGAUGGAAUUAGUGGUGUAGGGGUAAAAUCCGUAGAUAUCACUAGGAAUACCAAAGGCGAAGGCGAUCUUCUGGAACAAUACUGACGCUAAGGCGUGAAAGCGUGGGGAGCAAACAGGAUUAGAUACCCCCGUAGUC
RNAcentral lists this ribosomal RNA (439 nucleotides) under uncultured bacterium. RNAcentral describes it as "partial 16S ribosomal RNA". It matches the Rfam family "Bacterial small subunit ribosomal RNA", at positions 339 to 795 of the family's 1533-position model. The record is from RNAcentral.